Molecule: ribosomal RNA, 468 nt
Filed under: uncultured bacterium
Lineage: Bacteria
Description: partial 16S ribosomal RNA
Rfam family: Bacterial small subunit ribosomal RNA
Source: RNAcentral
GACGAACGCUGGCGGCGGGCUUAACACAUGCAAGUCGAACGGAAAGGCCCUGCUUUUGUGGGGUGCUCGAGUGGCGAACGGGUGAGUAACACGUGAGUAACCUGCCCUUGACUUUGGGAUAACUUCAGGAAACUGGUGCUAAUACCGGAUAGGAGCUCCUGCUGCAUGGGGGGGGUUGGAAAGUUUCGGCGGUUGGGGAUGGACUCGCGGCUUAUCAGCUUGUUGGUGGGGUAGUGGCUUACCAAGGCUUUGACGGGUAGCCGGCCUGAGAGGGUGACCGGCCACAUUGGGACUGAGAUACGGCCCAGACUCCUACGGGAGGCAGCAGUGGGGAAUAUUGCACAAUGGGCGGAAGCCUGAUGCAGCAACGCCGCGUGCGGGAUGACGGCCUUCGGGUUGUAAACCGCUUUCGCCUGUGACGAAGCGUGAGUGACGGUAAUGGGUAAAGAAGCACCGGCUAACUACGUG